CCCACACCCAUGUGUGUAGGACUCCAAAGGAUCACCAUUAAAUUUGACACAUAUCUCUAGAAAAGUUAUCUCAUGGGUGUGGGACUUGACUUUUCUAAAGAUAUGUGCCAAAUUUAAUGGUGAUCGUUUGGAAUCCUACACACAUGGGUGUGAG
This is a non-coding RNA of Amborella trichopoda, 154 nucleotides long. Lineage: Eukaryota; Viridiplantae; Streptophyta; Magnoliopsida; Amborellales; Amborellaceae. The record is from Rfam.